Molecule: ribosomal RNA, 612 nt
Filed under: uncultured bacterium
Lineage: Bacteria
Description: bacterial SSU rRNA
Rfam family: Bacterial small subunit ribosomal RNA
Source: RNAcentral
CCUUUGGAAACGAAGAUUAAUACCCCAUAGUACCUCAUAGUAGCAUUGCUAAAAGGUUAAAGCUUUCGGGCGGUACAGGAUGGUCAUGCGUACCAUUAGCUAGAUGGUAAGGUAACGGCUUACCAUGGCAACGAUGGUUAGGGGCCCUGAGAGGGGGAUCCCCCACACUGGUACUGAGACACGGACCAGACUCCUACGGGAGGCAGCAGUGAGGAAUAUUGGACAAUGGGCGGAGCCUGAUCCAGCCAUGCCGCGUGCAGGAAGAAUGCCCUAUGGUAGUAAACUGCUUUUAUACAGGAAGAAAAAGGGUUACGUGUAACCUACUGACGGUACUGUAAGAAUAAGGACCGGCUAACUCCGUGCCAGCAGCCGCGGUAAUACGGAGGGUCCGAGCGUUAUCCGGAAUUAUUGGGUUUAAAGGGUCCGUAGCGGGCUUAUAAGUCAGAGGUGAAAUGGUGCAGCUCAACUGUAGCACUGCCUUUGAUACUGUAGGUCUUGAGUCAUGGUGAAGUUGGCGGAAUAUGUAGUGUAGCGGUGAAAUGCAUAGAUAUUACAUAGAACACCUAUUGCGAAGCAGCUGACUAACCAUGUACUGACGCUGAUGGACGAAAG